UUCUCCAGGCUAAUCAUCCCCAGCUCCCUAAGGCUGGGUUUGUAUUAAGGGUUUUUAUGUUUUUAGUCUUGGUUGGCUUGGCUUUAUAGCAUGCUUCUCUCAGAUCUCAAGAUAGAAAGAUGUUAAUAUAUAAGUAGUAAUUACAUUUUUUAUUAAAAGGAAAUUGGUUGUGAAAGAGUUGAGGUGGGAUGGACCAUUGAGCAAUGAGCAACCGUAAUGUGGCUUGCGAAGCCAAUGAGUUGGGAAAUUCCAGUGUUGACAUCGCAUGCAAAGGUCUUUGCAGUUUCUCGUAAGAGGAAAGCCACAAAAGAGUUGCUGGAAGAGUGUUUUGGAGACAGAUUCAGAAGGCAUCCAUAGUUUCUUUCCCUGGCUGCAAAGCUGCAGAAAACCAUGGAAAGACGACAACCAUGGCUGGUUUUUCUGGUUAGCUAUCUUGUCCUGAUGGCCACCAUCGCUGGGAUGGUGGUCCCGGGGCCAGUAUCUGGGAACCCAACCACCGUUUUGUCCCCAGCUGCUGAGUUGAAAGAUACAGCGUCUGAGCCUCUAGCAGAUGCCAGUGUUCCUGUGUUGGUGCCAAGGUCCAACAUUCACAAGGCCUGGUGGAAAAAAGGGCUAUCUGAAAGGAAGAAGAAACCAAGCAAGCCACUUUGGAGGCCUGGGAUGUUCACGCUUCUGGGUGGGAAGGAAAUAAUAACACGGAAGAAAAUCCAGUCUUCCUGAAGGCGUGAGACCCAAGAGUGAUUUGCCAUCUUCCCUGCAGAACAUCUUGCUACUCUUCCCUUUGUAGGAACUCUUCCUUGGCAGCCACUCUACACUAGCAUGUGUCUCAUUGGGUGCAUCCACACUGCACAGUUAUUGCAGUUCAAUGCCACUUUCGCUGCCAUGGCUCCAUCCUGUGGGAACUUAGCCAUUCAAGGUUUGGAGGUGCUUAGAUCUCUCUAGAGCUCCCUGGCAGAGGAUUCCAUGAUCUUUACCAAACAACGUAUGCCAGGAUUUGUUAGGAUGGAGCCAGAGCGGUUGAAGUGGUAUCAGCCUGGAUGCAUACAUUGUUUGCGUGAAGCUGUCCUCGUUGCAGCCAGUUCUGGAUGGUGCCAAAACUGUCUAGAAAUGAGCAUGUUUUUGAUUUACUAUAUGGCAAGCCCUGUUUGAUCUGUCUUUCCUCAUAGCAAUAAACACUGUGCUUUUCUUUCCA
This is a long non-coding RNA of Sceloporus undulatus (fence lizard), 1192 nucleotides long. RefSeq lists it as uncharacterized. The transcript has 2 exons. Lineage: Eukaryota; Metazoa; Chordata; Lepidosauria; Squamata; Phrynosomatidae. The record is from RefSeq and is a predicted model, not a curated record.